This 5106-nucleotide long non-coding RNA is filed under the name Homo sapiens (human). RNAcentral's name for it is "HSALNT0203250". The record is from RNAcentral. Lineage: Eukaryota; Metazoa; Chordata; Mammalia; Primates; Hominidae.
AUUUUUCCUCUCUAGUGAAAUGUGAGUGUAUGUGUUUUUUAAAGUUUUCUCCAGAAGCAAUGUUUCUCCUCUACAUGAAGAAAAUUGAAAUGUUUCAACUAUUUCAUCUCUUAUGUUUCAAAAUAGUAAUUAAUUUUAAUAUUCCAAAGAAUUCAGACAUUUCUAGUACUGUGCUAUAUACAGUUGUACAACAUAGCAUUUCUAUUCUGCUUAACAGUUUGCAAAAUGUCUUCACAUAUAGAAUUUCUACAGAGGCAUCAUUUUCAAAUACAGAAAAUGUUCAGAGAAUAUCAUUUUUGAUGAUGAUAUGGGGGUGACUAUUCUGGUAUCACUUGAAGAAGCAGUACUUUGCGAAAAAGGAAGUAACUGAUUAUAGGAGGUCAAAAUGCCCUGAUGCUCAUAUCUAUGGAAAACAUGAUUUCUCCUCUGAAUUUAUGACAAAGUUUAUGACGAUUUUCCCCUUCCUUAUAAGCCCUCAGAUUGAUCUUUGUAAUUGCUUUUCAAAAUUUAAUUUACAUUAUUAAACUUCACUUCACUUAUUUAAAAAUAGAUAUUUAAAUCUCUUAUUUGUUUAAAAAGUCUGAAAUAUAUUGUAAACAAAAUAUGUACAGAAAAUAUGCCACCAUUGGGAGGCACAAGUGAGAGUUUGGGAAAAUGUAAGGUUAUUUUUCCACCUCUGGAGGUGUCCUUGACAAUAGCAACAGUUGAAUAGGGUAACCAAAGUUGAUUGCAGGUGGCUGCAGACUCCAACAAUAUUAGCAGUAAUUGGAGCAGCAGCAGCAGCAGCAGCAGCAGCAGCAGCAGCAGCAGCAGCAGGAAAACAGGAUCCUGGAUUCCCGCUCAGUAGCUGUGGUGUGAAACAACUGCAGCCAUGACAGCCUUAUAUAAUCUCCAGCAACUUAAGCAGGACUUGUGGCAUGUUCGGGGUAUAUCACAGCUUCCUGAGUUUGAUAUAACUGCUUACUUUCCCUAUUCCACCUUUGGUUUGUCCCUGCAGAUAACACCAAUAUGGCCAAUUAUCUUCCUGCAUGAAAUAUCCAAAGUGGUGUCUCAUACUGACCUGAGCAAACAUCAACUGAUACGUGUGCUAAUAGAAGUGGCACCAGGAAACAGACCUUUCAAUUGUUAAUCUGAGAAUGGUUAUUUGACCUGAUUAUAAAUGUUGAUCUCAUCACAUUUGGAAAAUGAGACUCAGGCCUGGGAGGAUGAUGGCAGUGGCUGUCAUUGACCUUCAGCUUUCUUAUUUCAAUGGGUUUAAUUCUAAUCCUGAGGUGGCAGAUGCAGUGACUGAGUGGACAUAGGAUGAGACUGACAAUUACAAUAUUUUUAUCUGCAGGGAUAAUUAUUAACAGCUUUUGAAGUCCACCAUUUCUCCGCAUCUGAAAAUCAAAGUACUUUUUCUGUUACAUUUUAAUCUGACAUGAAUGAGCAACUUCCUGCUGUUUUAGGACAGGUCCUCAAUAGUACUUUUAAAGCCUUAGGAGCUUUCAAUAUCAUCAGCCAAUUAGGCAUUCACAAGACUUUUGCUACAUAUGACAAGUUUAGAAAUAUUCCUUUUUUUUUUAAGUUUCUAGAGAUGUAGAGAACUUUCUGACUUUCUAAUUGCAUGACCAUAGAUUAUGACUCUUUCCAUAAUAUGAAAUGCAUCCUGCAGUGCUUGUUCUAAACUAUACCUCAAUAGUUAUUAGUGAUGAUAACCAGAAAGAUUGACAGUUAUUUAUUGUUUCUUACCAUUAUACUCCCCACGGAAGGAGAGAGAUUUCAUACAUACUAUUUAGACAUUAUUUAAUAAGAGACUUAUAAGUCAAAGAAAUUUAAUUGCACAUUGUCACUGUCAGUCUUCCUACAAAUAAAAUACUGUAUUGAGUUCACUAAUAUACAAAUGGUGGUGGUGGUGGUGGUGGUGGUGGUAGGAUAAUCUCAAGCAGCCUGAUUUCUCAUUUGCAUUUCUACAUAAGUAAAAAAAUUCAGUUAAUUUAAAAAAUUAAAAUGUAGCAUGUGAUAUUUAUUACCACUUUUUUGCAUUCAUAAUCUAUGUAAACAUGUGAAUGAAAAUACCUAUGUGUAAUGGGAAAGAAUCUUCAAUUGUCAAAUGCUUAUCAAAUACCCAGGAGCCAACGAACACUUCCUAAAGUCUAACUGAGGGUGUCCAAAUGCAAUUCCAUUAAAGACUGCUCAGUCAUCAUUCUCCCAAGCCAAGUUCAAAAGGCCAAAGUCAGUUUUUUAAAAAAGAAUUUUUAAAUUAUUGCAUAUGCCCUUUCAAGUCAGUGUAAAACAAUCACCUUGUCCACUCAUCGGGUAAUUGCGUUCAAUGUCUACGGAGGACACUAAGCACCAGUAGUUCCAACUGAUACAUAGACAAGUUUGCUGCUGUUGAAUAAUGUUCUUAUUUUGUAUGUGUCAAGGCCAAAAUAGCAUGCUUACUUUACACAUCUAGCAAGGCUACAGUUUGUUUUCAUUUUAAAGAAGAGUUACCAAAUUGAAGUCCUUCUCUAUAAUAAAACUGUUAAAACAAAUUGACAGUCAAUAUUCCCAAACUUUAACUUGAUUAAUCCUGCUCUUGGCAAUUGCACUAUUGCAUUAUGUGUUAUAUCUUUGAUUAUCCAAUGAAGGAAUAAGAGUAGAAUAUUUCCUUAAGUGAAUUUCUGUUUCAUAUGGAAUGUGGCAACAUAUUGGUGCUAUUUAGAGAUUACAUAUCCAACAUACAAUAUAUAUUAUUGUUAUUUGUCAUGCUUAAAAACAGAAUAAAUAUAAACAUCCUCAUGUUUAUAUAUCUCUAAUUUUAGAAGGUAUAAAUAAAUGACUUAAUUGUCUCAUGAAGGAUUAGAAAAUCUUUAAUUUUAAAAAUCACUAAUGAAACUAAUUACACUGCAGGUAAUAGUAAGUAAUUUUUAAUUAUAAUAGCAAGAAGAAUGACGUAAAAGAUCCAAUUGUCUUAAGUGAUCAGAAUAACUAAUUUUUUUAAUGACCAUUUCAUGAACAAAGUCAUACUACAGUUAAUUAAUAAUAAUUUAUGAUGAUAAGGAGGAGAUAAAAAUAUAAGUAAUCUCAAGAUGCUUCUUUCUACAGUGACAUACUUACAUAACUGUGUUCAUAAAAAUUAACAAUAAUAUAUAAUGCCUUGUGAAUGAAGUACUCUGUUGUAACAAUAUAUUAUUAAUUUUAUAUGCCAUUUCCUGCUUUGAUAAAUAUAGUAUUUAUUCAACUCAAUAAAUUACUACCAAUACAGAAAAACCAAAUGUUGCACAAAGCCUAAGGCUAUUGUAUCAAUAUAAAUAUAUUCAACUUUAAGGCAAUGAUUCUGACAGAUUAGAGGACUAAAUUCAUAUAAUAGAAUGUCAUGAUUUAAACAAAAUGUGAUCCACCAGAGGUAAAAUUAUAACCUACCUAUUAUUCCUAGAAAUUUAAAGCAAUAUUUUUGUGAGAGUUAAAUAAUUUUCAGGGUGAUUUUUGUAUACAUAUUUUUAUUAUAAUAUUGACCUAAUGGGAAACAAAACUGCUUUUCACUAGCAGGGCCAGAUGUGCAGGAUGAUUAGUUAUACUUACACUCCAUUUGCCUUCAAAUUAUGUAUCUUUGAAAAAUAGGACAUGUACAUAGGUUGAUUUUCAUUUAUUUUUGUUAUCCUUUAUUUAAUGAUUUGUAUUCUCCGUUGAUAUAUGAUUGUAUUACUUAAAUCCUCUGAAAUGUUUUUAAACUAAUCAGAGUAUGUUCAAAAAGGAGAAGAAAAUGAACUUUAAGUACUUGAAUUAAGCAGCAGCAUCGUGUCUAUUUAUUUUGUUAUGUCACCCGGGCUCUUCCUUGUUGAACAAGGUAAUACAAUGGUGCAUACAAAGAUAGCCACAAAGUAGCUUACUUUAGAUAUGCUUCUUGAUUGACUGUUAAGAUAUUCAAAGAAAGCAAAAACAUCUUACAAUUAUAUAUCUAUAAAUGCAUAAGUAUGUGUAUAGAGGACUAAUAUGUAUCGUGCAUAUACAUAAUUGUAUAUCAUUGUCAGUAUGUGUUUGUACACUGACAAUUCGUAGUACCUCAAAUUAUUUUUAGCAUAUUCUGUUGUAUACAAAUUUACACUUAAUAAAGGGAGAAUUUUAAGUUAAAGGGGAAAGAUGAGGCUAAAUCAAAAGGUAAACAAAGACUUAAAAAUGCUAAGCCAGUGGUAGUCUAUUCUGAAAAUACGGACACGGUGAUUGUGAAGGGUGCCAGGUCAAGGUGUUCAUCCCAGUUUUUCACGGAUAGAAUUAAGCUGUGUAUAUGGGAAAUGGAAAUGAAGAAUAGGAUUUGUGUGCACAGCUCAUUUUUCCUCCUAGUAGAGCGAACUAAUGAAUAUUAAGAAAAUAUUAAGAAGUAUUUUUCUUUUUAAAGUGUUUACCCUGUGUUUCUCUGUCUUUGGGAAGUCAGUCACACUAGGGGUGAGAGUUCACAGUGAAUGUCUAAUCCAGACUUUGGCUAAUUAUAAGAUGAUUCCAUAGUUGUAAUCAUCUCCAAAAAGUUUAGACAUGUUCUGGCCUUUGGGUUUCAAUUAUAUAAGUAUGUCCCAUUCUGCGUCCAUAUGCACAUCUAAAUGUCAAUUGCAUGGUAACGGAGUUUAAAAAAAAUCUCAAACCAUGUUUCUGCUGGGUCUGGUUACAGCAGUUCCAUAAUGAGCACCUUUGAGCACUUUUAUUCCACUUCACAGUGUGUAAAUUCAUAAAUGCUUGGCCUUGUAUCUUUUCUGUGUUGUCAGCAUUCUCAUCAUUUUGGGAGACAAAUUGAUAUCUCCCUUAGAAAUGACCAAAUUGAGUGCCAUCUGUUACAAUGAAGGGCUACUUCAAGGAGAACUUUUAUUGAAUGCUCUGCCCUCAAAAACCAUCACUGACAUGCAGCAGAAUUUUUUUUUUUUUUGGCAAGUUAUAUAAGCAGAAAGUGAUUGUAAAUCAAACUAGAAGAAAGUAUAACAGAUAUUCCUGGAAACCAAAGAAUAUUUUAAUCAUCAAAUAAUGAAACAGAGGCAUCUAGAGUAAAGCCCUAUUGGAAAUAAUUAAUAGCACGUGGGCAAUGAUUUUUUAAAUGCUUUUUUAUUUAUUUCAUUGACAUUAGUUCUUAUAUUUGACAUCUUCUGUGUGACUAAU